UGGGGAAUUUUGCACAAUGGGGGAAACCCUGAUGCAGCGACGCCGCGUGAUUUAGAAGGCCUUCGGGUUGUAAAAAUCUUUUCUAUGGGAAGAAAAUGACAGUACCAUAGGAAUAAGGACCGGCUAAUUACGUGCCAGCAGCCGCGGUAAUACGUAAGGUCCGAGCGUUGUCCGGAAUCAUUGGGCGUAAAGGGUACGUAGGCGGGUAAGCAAGUUAGAAGUGAAAUCCUGUAGCUCAACUACAGUAAGCUUUUAAAACUGCUCAUCUUGAGAUAUGGAAGGGAAAGUGGAAUUCCUAGUGUAGCGGUGAAAUGCGCAGAUAUUAGGAAGAAUACCGGUGGCGAAGGCGACUUUCUGGUCAUCAUCUGACGCUGAGGUACGAAAGCGUGGGUAGCAAACAGG
RNAcentral lists this ribosomal RNA (402 nucleotides) under Bacteroidota bacterium. RNAcentral describes it as "Bacteroidetes bacterium partial 16S ribosomal RNA". It matches the Rfam family "Bacterial small subunit ribosomal RNA", at positions 355 to 776 of the family's 1533-position model. The record is from RNAcentral. RNAcentral also lists the same sequence under 1 other name. Lineage: Bacteria; Pseudomonadati; Bacteroidota.